CGGGUCCUCCUCAACUAAGCUCCGGUUGCCAUGGCGACGGAGAGGCCUGCAGGGGCCUGGUCGGGGCUACACAGGCACUGCUUCUGCUCUUCCCCUUGGCGGUCCUGAGGGGACACCGUGGGUGCCAAGGAGGAGUAAAUUGUCACAUCAGAGUGAGGAACGUAAUGGAACAGGGAUGGUGUUGGCUGAUCCUGAAGAGAUCCUGAUCCAGCCUUGUAUGGAUAUGUCAGCUGAAGUACUAGGGAUCAGAAAGGUCUAUGUGCCACACACAUAAGCCUUAUUGCAGCCCUACUACAGGGAAUGAAGGAAAGAGUCUGAAGUCUACUCGAGUCUGAUUUGUGAAAGAGCAGAAGUGGCCCUGGAGACAAAGAUGGAGGCAACAGCGACUCCAAGGGAAAGAUGAAUCUUGAGGGGACUGAAAUCUGGUUAUCAAUCCAGUCUCUUGUUCCUAGGGAGUCGCCAUGAUGCCACAGAAAGAGCACGCUCUUUGAACCUGGCAAACUUGAGUUCACAUCGUGCUGGGAAAGGUUUGUGAACUGGGGCAAAUUACUUCAGCUCCCUGAGCCUCCAAUUCCUCAGCUCUACAAUGAGGGUAAGAGUGCACACCUUCAAGAAUUACUAUGAGGAUGAAAUAGCAUCGCUUAGGUGAAAGCACCUUGUGUAAUGUCUGGAACACAACAGACAUGGAAGAAACAUCCAUUCCCUUCCUACCCCGCCGCCACCUCUCUGCCUCUAGGAUCAGCUUUCCAGGCAACACCUAGACCCCUAAGCAUCCUUGGAGGCAGGUCUGCUGGCCUUGCACCUUGCUUGAGCCUCCACACCUUCACAAAAGUUGACCUCUCCCAGGCCUUGUCUCUGCUAUUGGGUAACAAUUGACUUAAAAUGAUUAGCUCCAUAUCAUACACUGUAGUGACAAUUUCAGGUACCACAGCAGAUUUAUGGGGGAGACGCAGCAUCUGGGGACAGUAGGAGUCUGGUGGUAAUUAACACUAACCUCCAGAUCAUACCACUUACCUUCAGAGCAAGCCUUAGUGGUUCGGUUUGGAAGUAAAUGGAUUUUUCUCUGAAAGCCCCCGGGGAGCAAUCAUUGUCUUCACUGCCCUUAAGGUAACUGCCUGUCUUCAGUGCCGGAAGAGAUUUAGGACCAACAGAUGAGAUUAUGAUUAUCCAUGACACUCUUUGGUCUGAAAUUAAAAUGCUUUCAAUUGUGGGUGCCUGGCUUAGGUGGCUGCCUCUGGAAACUUUCAUCUCUGUUAGCAUUUCAAAUUUGCCCCUGCAGCAGUGUUCUCCUCUGGGAGGAAGGCGGUCUCUGAUAAGGAAUCCAAACCAGGCCUGAGCUAUAGGCUUACCCACCAACACUCAGCUGGCUAGAAACAUCCUUCCAUCCUUCCCUCCGGCACCAGAGCCCCUUCCUGACACUCUCAAUGGAGAAACUGAAGAUCAAACACGUUUAAUCUCUGACCCCCACACUGGCCACCUAGCAGGAGUCUGUCUUUAGGGCAAGGGGGAUCUGAAAUAAUUCAUGUUGCCCUCACCACAGUGUUCCUUCUCUGCAGGAGGCUGUCGGCUGCUUGGGGCUAUCAAUCUGACAUACUUCUGUAGUUCUACACAGAGACUAAAAUACCAUUUAAGUCUUAUUCCAACAGUUCUUGAAUCAUGUGGGUAUUACCAAGCAUGAAAUCAUCAUCUAAAAACACAAUUUUAAAGAGCUGGUUCUUUGGGAAAAAUAAGAAAGAACAUUUCCCCCUGUUUACUCUGAGAUUUGCUUUUUUCCUCAAUAGUGUGGUUAUUGUGUUUUUUUCUUAAUCUUUAGAGAUUAGGCUUCAAUUUUUCACCUAGGCUCCAAUUUGCCCAUAAAUCUCUUCAUUUUGCUUAAUUUAAAUGUUUUGGCCAACUUCAUGGUUUAAUAAUGAAAAAUAAAAUUGAAGCCUUAAUGACUACUAAGGAGGGAAUUUUCAUUUCAUCUGGAAUUAAAAGAGCUGUUAAAGAGGCGGGCACCCUGUCAGACAAGCUGCCACAGCCUUCACUGGAGCGUGCCAAAUGUGGCUUGAUAUUAUACACGUCUUUAUACCCAGGGCAAUCCUCCAAUACGAUUUCUUGAAAAUCCUUCAGAUCCAGCCCUACUUACAUCCACCUGAUUGCUAUGCCCCUAUUGAUUAAGCUGGGAACUAUUCAUUGAAUUCAGGCCAUCUGAGAAGCCCCCUAGGUCCCUGGGGCGCCCCUCACACGCUGCCCAUCAGAGCUAAGGCAAGUUACCCAGCUCCAGAAAGCUCCGGCACAGGCUGUAUAAUGGGGGCCCUGAGACCACGAUGAUCAGAUAACCAGGCAGCAAGAGUACUGUUUCCUUAGCUCCACCCGAGCAGACAAAAGAGAGGGAGAACUAUGAAGUUUUAAAACCCCUUUCACGUAGGUUGACCAGUGGAGAAAGGUAUCCAUGCAUGGCUAUGUAGCCUAGAAUUCCCUCCCUGUUCCAGAGCUGAGAGGAAACAGUAGCUGGGUAAUUCCCUUCGUGCAGAGAGAGGAGCUCCGGUUUCUUUUGCUUGUAUAGAACACAGCAAGUCCUCUGAGACAGUCCGUGGAGAGGCUGCUUGGCAUUGGGUAGAAUCAUGGGAACUGGUUGGAGGUAGAUCAACCUAUUUCUAUCGGCGGCUUGUUGGAUGGCUGGAAAAAGAGAACCGGAUUCUUCUAUCUUUGUUACCUCCUUCAGUAUGUCCCACCCAAGCCACUUUCCUUACUACGUGUCACCUCUAAGAAGUAUCCUACAAGGAUCCCAUCCUUCGUAUGACAUUUAGUCAUGUAUUGGCUUAGGUGAGAAAGAUUUAUACAUUUGCCUUUUAACACAGAUUGUAAACGUUCGAAGGACAAGAACCUGGUUUUAUAGUUUGUGUUCAUUCAUUGACUGAUAAAACAAACCAGUGACGAAGGCACUCAUUAUUCCAGCAUCAACUACGGCUACGGGCACGGAGCAAGGCUUAUUGUGUGCUACUCCAGGGACCCCAGGGAAGUGUGGUGCCUAAUUUCUGCCUUCAAGUAGCUCCCCAUUUUGUCGGACAAGCUCGGUGUGUAUGGGGGAAAAGAUAAUGCAGUAGCACACAAUAAGAUCACAAUGAUUCAAAAACAUCUAAAAAUCACUAGAAAACAAAAUUUUAAUACUGAGUUUCUUGAGGUACUGCCAUUUGGGUUCCUUUGUUAUUUUUCUUCUUUUUGGAUUUUC
Molecule: long non-coding RNA, 3214 nt
Organism: Ailuropoda melanoleuca (giant panda)
Lineage: Eukaryota; Metazoa; Chordata; Mammalia; Carnivora; Ursidae
Exons: 4
Source: RefSeq, a predicted model, not a curated record